RNAcentral lists this ribosomal RNA (496 nucleotides) under uncultured bacterium. Its description in RNAcentral is "partial 16S ribosomal RNA". It matches the Rfam family "Bacterial small subunit ribosomal RNA", at positions 28 to 506 of the family's 1533-position model. The record is from RNAcentral.
GAUGAACGCUGGCGGCGUGCCUAAUACAUGCAAGUCGAGCGAACAGAUAAGGAGCUUGCUCCUUUGACGUUAGCGGCGGACGGGUGAGUAACACGUGGGUAACCUACCUAUAAGACUGGGAUAACUUCGGGAAACCGGAGCUAAUACCGGAUAACAUUUGGAACCGCAUGGUUCUAAAGUGAAAGAUGGUUUUGCUAUCACUUAUAGAUGGACCCGCGCCGUAUUAGCUAGUUGGUAAGGUAACGGCUUACCAAGGCGACGAUACGUAGCCGACCUGAGAGGGGGAUCGGCCACACUGGAACUGAGACACGGUCCAGACUCCUACGGGAGGCAGCAGUAGGGAAUCUUCCGCAAUGGGCGAAAGCCUGACGGAGCAACGCCGCGUGAGUGAUGAAGGGUUUCGGCUCGUAAAACUCUGUUAUUAGGGAAGAACAAACGUGUAAGUAACUGUGCACGUCUUGACGGUACCUAAUCAGAAAGCCACGGCUAACUACGU